GAGGCGAAAAAGGAGGAGGAAAAGGAGGAGGAGGAGGAGGAGGAGGAGGGUCAAGGUUAUUUUAAAACUGAGCUUCACUUGUUUAGAAAAACAAAACUGAAUUGUUAGUUUAUCGAAACAUGAAAAAUGUUUUCAUGAACUAUUUCACGAAGCGUCUACACAGUAAUUCUAAUGGAUGUCACUUCAUUUAUAACAUUAGAAGACAAUUUAGUUUUUUUCAGGAGACCAUUAUUUGGAGUUUGUAAAGUACAAUUCAGUUCAGAUGAAAAUGAAUCGUGUCGCAGGAAUUUAGAAAAGGAAACGUUUAAUCACAGACCUUUGAACUCUGGAAAGACUUCAGUUCAGAGGUUUCACUUUUGAAACUGAAUCACUGGGGACAAGUCCAAAUGUCCAGUAAACCUGGUCCGUGUCCACAUUCGUUGUCCUUAAAUGUUGAACAAUGCGUUCGACUCUUUUUUUUCAGCUGGAGUUUUUUUUUAUUAUCAAAUGAAUCACUGCAGCUGAAAAGUUCUGAAAAGUCGAGUUUGAACUUUUCUCUUUUUAAAUUUUUUUUUCUCUUUCACACAAGUUAAAGAAGCAAAGAUCAGAAUUUGCAUUGGAAACGAGAGCUCUGCUGCAUCCGUGGUAGAAAAGUCCAAACCUCCAGCUGUGAUUGAUCCAAAUAUGGUUCCACAGAUAAACACGGGCGACUCGUAUGUUCACAGUCGAGGCUGCGGAGAGAGGAGAGCUGGGGGUGAAGGGGGGGGGCUGAUGUUUCAGCCGUCAUGAACGUUUUUGUGGUGUGAUCACAGGCACUGAUGUCACACACACACACACACACACACACACACACUGUAUUUCAUACCUACACAUGUACUCUGUCACAGUGAAGUAGUUCAUGGUGUUUGGGCGACUGUGGUGGAAAAGGCUGGGAGUCAGAUUCAUAUUAUCUUUCACUGAGGCUGCUGUGGAUCAGUUUACAACAAACUCUGCAAACACACACACACACACACACAGCGUUUCUGCACCUGCAACUCACACAUCACUUGUGGACAUUUGGUGUCAUGGCAACAGUUUCUACAGUGACUGCAGAAAAGCGGGAUGAUGCUGACGAGACAGCGAGUGUUGAUGGACAGUUCAGAACGAAAGGUGAUGCACAAGUCCAACUGACCCAACGGUGACCUUUGACCCCCCCCCAGCUCCAAUGGCAUACUAACAUCCCAGCAGCAGUUCAUGACAUUCAGAUCUGCUGAAAGAAGUCGUUUUUCCAAAACCUUAGAAUGACAUUUGUUUUUGUUUUGUCUUCAAACCAGACUUACUGACGAUGACACAGACACUGGUCUUCAUAAUCGCUUCUUUGGAAGAUGAUGAAAUACUACUGAAAUACAAACCUCACCCUUGACAUGCUGGAAUAUUUAAAGGUACAAUUCCACAGCAGGAAGCAGUGCCAGGAGCAGGAGGAAACACAGGAAUGGUGUGUGAACUGUUAGGAAGGAAGAAACAAAAAAAGAAAAAAAAAAGAAUGAAAUGUUAAAUCUGGAGACAGGCUUUCUGUCAGAAACUACUUCCGUCACUUUCUCAAAGCAACAAUGUGAAAUUCACACUCUUGACACUGCGUGGAGGUGAGAGAGGAACUUCAACCUUUCUUCUUCUCACUCAUUCCUGUCACGUUGCUUCUUAAAAACAACUCAGAGACAAAAAUACUUCACCAUAAUGAGUGUUUUUAGGACACGCUCUCUUGUGUACGCUGUUGAACGACAGCCGUCGCCUUUUGCUUUCACUCUGCAGUCACUGUAGCGACUUCGUUUGUCAAGUUUGAAUUAUUAUAAAUUAUUAAAUCCAGUGAUGUGUUCGGAAUACAUCCGUCAAAAGUGCCUUGUUAAUCACAGUCAUUAUACAAACGAGCAGGGAUUUUCUCAGUUUUGCAACAUUGCAGUUCACAUUUUUAAACAUGUUCUCGUACGGAGAGAAACAAUAAACUGUCAGUGAUGAAAGUCAUUUACUCGUAAAACAAAGUGAUUUAGUAAAUAAUGAGAAAAGGUUCUGUUAAAUGACAGUAACUUUUCUCCUGUUGGAGCUGUGGGGUAUUUACUGUAAGUGGCAGUAGUUCCACCCCCGGAAGUCGUAAUUUAUCCUCCUCAGCUCAGACGACCCAGAGUUCAAAACAACAUUGUUUAAACUGUAGCGGAGCGGUGGUUUUUACAGUUUUAUGGCAAAGCAGUGAUAAUUAGAGACCGGAGAAGAAGACCUUCAGAGCAAUGUUCCAAAUAUGUCCUCAACCGUUUGACGUAAACCUCAGCUGUGGAUCAGUGGUUGAAGUCUUUGUCUCUCAACCAGGGUGCGGCCGACAGGUGGGACAGACGCUUUCAUCUCUGCUCACCUCCUGGACCGUGGAUGGGAACCAAACUGCAGUUUUACAGGCUGGGAAACCCACACAGGACAGACCCUGACAUAAAAGCCAGAUCUUGGUGCAGGUCACGGACCAGUCACGGACGCACCAUGUCUUCUCCACAUUGGGGACACUUCCUGACCGGCAGUGGGAUCUCCAUCACCUCAUACUGUUGUUCAGUGACUUCCUGUGCUUCACCCAGACUCGAUGAAGACGGUUUUGUACUUUCGGAUGUGGUGCAGGAGCACGCUCUGUUUGUCCUUCCUGCCUUCUGACACCAGCUUCAGAUCGCCCUCCAGUUCAGCACGAAGUGUUUUUGGGUAACGUACCCUCCACCAGCCCCAUGCCCAGCUCCCCUGGGAGAAACCUCUGGUCCCGUGUCAAACCCACAUACAUGCGACUCUUUAUGGUCUCAAUGUGCUCGGCAUGAGUCGCAUCUGUGCCUGAAAUACACACGAAAGAUUCAUCCUGUAAUGUCAGUGCUAUGAGGUCAGCUUCAGUGAGCAGCUCUGGAGGACUGGUUUGACCGUCUAACAUUUCUAUGGACGUCGGCUGGAACUGAAAUCCUUGUUCAUACACAGGAAUGACCUACAGCAUGGAGGAGAUGUUGAGAUGUUCUG
Long non-coding RNA from Cynoglossus semilaevis (tongue sole), 2988 nucleotides. RefSeq lists it as uncharacterized. The transcript has 8 exons. The record is from RefSeq and is a predicted model, not a curated record. NCBI's taxonomy places the organism in Eukaryota, Metazoa, Chordata, Actinopteri, Pleuronectiformes, Cynoglossidae.